CCUACGGGUGGCAGCAGUGGGGACUAUUGCACAAUGGGGGAAACCCUGAUGCAGCGACGCCGCGUGCAGGAAGAAGUAUUUCGGUAUGUAAACUUCUAUCAGCAGGGAAGAAAAUGAUGGUGCAUGACUAAGAAGCACUGUCUAACUACGUGACAGCAGCCGCGGUACUACGUAGGGGGCAAGCGUUAUCCGGAUUUACUGGGUUUAAAGGGAGCGUAGGCGGUUUAGCAAGUCAGUAGUGAAAGCCCGGGGUUCAACCCCGGGAUUGCUUUUGAAACUGUGAAACGAGAUUGCAGGAGAGGUGAGGGGAAAUCCUAGUGUAGGGGGGAAAUGCGGAGAUAGUAGGAGGAAAUCCAGGGGCGAAGGCGGGUUACUGGACUGUAAAUGAAGCUGAGGCUCGAAAGCGUGGGGAUCAAACAGGAUUAGAUACCCGGGUAGUC
RNAcentral lists this ribosomal RNA (440 nucleotides) under uncultured bacterium. RNAcentral's name for it is "partial 16S ribosomal RNA". It matches the Rfam family "Bacterial small subunit ribosomal RNA", at positions 338 to 795 of the family's 1533-position model. The record is from RNAcentral.